Molecule: long non-coding RNA, 248 nt
Filed under: Gossypium barbadense (sea-island cotton)
Lineage: Eukaryota; Viridiplantae; Streptophyta; Magnoliopsida; Malvales; Malvaceae
Description: long non-coding RNA (GBAR_LNC008991)
Source: RNAcentral
UGAAAACCCCCAUAGGUGUGCAUUUAGAAUUAAUUCCAUACGGGUGGAGGACACAUGCGUGUCCCUGUAUUGCUUAGGUCGUGUGACCCACACAGGCCAUCAACACGACCAUUUGAAAUGGCCACACGGGCGUGUUGCCCUUCUACACGGGCGUGUGCCAUGUUUCAAAGUCAAUUUUUUUAUAGAUGGUUUAAGGAUCCGGGUUGAUCCUGAAUAGUUUUCAAUGGUCGAUUUGAGGCUCGUAGGCC